AUACGUAGGUGACAAGCGUUAUCCGGAUUUACUGGGCGUAAAGGGCGUGUAGGCGGUCUUGCAAGUCAGAAGUGAAAUUCCUGAGCUCAACUCGGGCGCUGCUUCUGAAACUGCAGGACUUGAGUGCUGGAGGGGAUAGCGGAAUUCCUAGUGGAGCGGUAAAAUGCGCAGAUAUUAGGAAGAACACCGGUGGCGAAGGCGGCUAUCGGGACAGUAACUGACGCUGAGGCGCGAAAGCGUGGGGAGCAAACAGGAUUAGAUACCCUGGUAGUCCACGCCGUAAACGAUGAGUGCUAAGUGUUGGAGGGUUUCCGCCCUUCAGUGCUGCAGCUAACGCAUUAAGCACUCCGCCUGGGGAGUACGGCCGCAAGGCUGAAACUCAAAUGAAUUGGCGGGG
This 397-nucleotide ribosomal RNA is filed under the name uncultured bacterium. Its description in RNAcentral is "partial 16S ribosomal RNA". It matches the Rfam family "Bacterial small subunit ribosomal RNA", at positions 523 to 918 of the family's 1533-position model. The record is from RNAcentral.